ACUACCAUCCUAGAAGAGAUUCCUAGGAACCUCAACACUGAAUGGUCGAUAACAUGUGAUAGAAAAUUAUGUGACAGUACGUUUAAACUUGGUAAAGUAAAGCCUCGUUAUCAUCAAAUGCGACUUUGUUCAAAAACCCUUUUCGUUGUACAGUGCCCAAUUCUGGAAUGUGCUCAACAGACUUUGCAUAAUCUAAUAAACUAUACUGUUUAUCGAGAUGAACCAAAUGUGGAAAUAAAUAGCCUACAAUUUCUAGGUGAUGCAUGAUAAAAAGCCAGUUUUGAGCUGUACGACUAGGUGCUGUGUUUAACAACUUAAUAGUGUUUAGGUCAUAAGUUGUUAAUUCACGAUCCACAGACAAAAACGUUUCAGCAGUUGAAGUUUGAACGCAAACAAGGUCAGGGAAACGUUGUACGCAGUGGAAACUAGAUAUUGGCAUAACCAGCAACUUCGGAUGACCGAUUUUUGAAAAAAUAACUUGCUUCUUCCAAAGGGCAAGGUUGGGGUCUAACUCUAAACUAGCAGAAAACUCCGCUAAGUACUUCCAGAGUAGAUCUUGUUGUUGAUGAGGAAAUGAAUCGAAAUGAUCUAGUUCACAAAGGAAUUUGCAUGGGUUGCUGAGAAGCUCGUUUGUAUAAUUAGUUUUUUCCUCUUCAGACCAAAAGAAAUCAGCUUCCCUUGUCUUUGCUAAGGAGCUUAGCAUGAUAUACCGCUGCUUAUGUGCUUCUUUGGGUAAGAUCAAUGAAAUAAGUUUUGUGCUGAAGUAGGAUAAUUCCCUAAUGCUAAUGGAAUUUUGUUCUUCCUUUUCAUUUUCAUUUUCAGGAUCGUUCAGUUGAAUGAAAGAUUGCCCAGUAUGUUCACUGUCGAAACAUAGUAGCAAUCGGAGUAAACGUUCUUCUCUACAGCAACGAAAAUCCCAACGUGACGAGACCCCUUUAAAUUGAAGGACACUAAGUUCCUUUUCUGUAUGUUCAUAAUUGCGUAAUUGCAGGAUAUCGCUUUCAUCAAACAUAAAGCAAUACUCCGCUCUUAACGUGUGUCCAAUAACUAGGUUUUCAUCAUUAGCCAGCAACCCGUAUUCAUCCAAAAUUUGCUUUCUUUCAAAUUCAUUACCCAGAGAAUAGUAUGGAGUUCCCAAAUCAGUCAUAAAGGUCAAGUUGUCAUGAGGUUCCGUUCCUUCAUUUUCCUCAAUACUCUCUAAAGUCGGCACUUUCUUUUGACAUUUACUCUUCUUGAACUCUAGAAGGUAUUGAGAAUAUCCGGCGGGAUCAUCAUUUUGUUCUUUUUCGGAAAUUUCAACUGUUUCUACUUUUUGAUUUGACAAUUCUCCAUUGUCAACAUAAACAGAUUCUGUUUCAACAGGAUCACUAUCAGGAGAUAGGCGCUCUUUUCUAUUUUCUUCAUCGACUGAUGAAAUGGCUCGAAGGGCCAGAACACGCGGUCCAUCUGGAAGACGUUUCUCAUGUUUAACGACAAAGCCAGAGUUGGGAGAUCCCAUCAAAAACUUCCUAACAGAAAUCAAAAAUUUAGGAUCAUAUCCAUCAGUAUUUGUUUCCAAGUCGGUUAAUACCAAGUUGCUAUUGACCUCCUCAGAGCUUCCAAUAACCUUCAAAAGUGGAACAUAUGAUGGAGAAGGCGCUAGUGUCUGUAAUGAAUCCUGCGAGUCAUCAUGCUCAUUAGAAAAUCCCAAGUCGGUUGCUUUAACCCCUAAUUUAUGAAAAAUUUUCUUGGCAAGUGCUCCCAUUUCUUGCUGUAUAUUUUCUAAAGAUAUUUUGCUUUUAGUUGAGUCAAUCGUUUCUUUUUCAGAGACAUUGUCAGAAAACUCCUGCUGGACUUCCUUUUCAAUGUUAGUUUCAUAGAUGGGAUGCAUAGUCGUAGUAUUAUCAGGGUUCGUCAACUCCAUAUUUACUAUACUAUCUGAAACAAUAUUCUCUCCAAAGAUACUACUCAUUUUGGAUCUUGAGGAUGCUGGCAAAAGACAAGUUGAAUGUUUGUUUACUAUGGAUCAUUUGAUCAUUGCAGUCUGCAUUUAGUCCACUGAGGAAAGUAAACAAAACUUUAAAAUUCAUAUUUAUUACUCAACAAUGAUUGUAUUAGUAUUAUCUUGAACUUACAAAAAUCUCACUGUAUAUUGCCAAUUUAACUUGUUUACUUUACGAAACAUCGCUAAUAAUGGACGCUAGUAUACCUACACCUCAGUUGCAGUUCGCCAUAAAUUUCACCAUUGAGAG
Schizosaccharomyces pombe (fission yeast) is the source of this 2231-nucleotide non-coding RNA. NCBI's taxonomy places the organism in Eukaryota, Fungi, Ascomycota, Schizosaccharomycetes, Schizosaccharomycetales, Schizosaccharomycetaceae. The record is from the annotation of a GenBank genome assembly.